Molecule: ribosomal RNA, 1556 nt
Filed under: Salmonella enterica subsp. arizonae
Lineage: Bacteria; Pseudomonadati; Pseudomonadota; Gammaproteobacteria; Enterobacterales; Enterobacteriaceae
Description: partial 23S ribosomal RNA
Rfam family: Bacterial large subunit ribosomal RNA
Source: RNAcentral
GUUCUGUAAGCCUGCGAAGGUGUGUCGUGAGGCAUGCUGGAGGUAUCAGAAGUGCGAAUGCUGACAUAAGUAACGAUAAUGCGGGUGAAAAACCCGCACGCCGGAAGACCAAGGGUUCCUGUCCAACGUUAAUCGGGGCAGGGUGAGUCGACCCCUAAGGCGAGGCCGAAAGGCGUAGUCGAUGGGAAACGGGUUAAUAUUCCCGUACCUGGUGUUACUGCGAAGGGGGGACGGAGAAGGCUAUGUUGGCCGGGCGACGGUUGUCCCGGUUUAAGCGUGCAGGCUGGUUUUCCAGGCAAAUCCGGAAAAUCAAGGCUGAGGCGUGACGACGAGGCACUACGGUGCUGAAGCAACAAAUGCCCUGCUUCCAGGAAAAGCCUCUAAGCCUCAGGUAACAUCAGAUCGUACCCGAAACCGACACAGGUGGUCAGGUAGAGAAUACCAAGGCGCUUGAGAGAACCCGGGUGAAGGAACUAGGCAAAAUGGUGCCGUAACUUCGGGAGAAGGCACGCUGACACGUAGGUGAAGCGGUUUACCCGUGGAGCUGAAGUCAGUCGAAGAUACCAGCUGGCUGCAACUGUUUAUUAAAAACACAGCACUGUGCAAACACGAAAGUGGACGUAUACGGUGUGACGCCUGCCCGGUGCCGGAAGGUUAAUUGAUGGGGUCAGCGCAAGCGAAGCUCCUGAUCGAAGCCCCGGUAAACGGCGGCCGUAACUAUAACGGUCCUAAGGUAGCGAAAUUCCUUGUCGGGUAAGUUCCGACCUGCACGAAUGGCGUAAUGAUGGCCAGGCUGUCUCCACCCGGGACUCAGUGAAAUUGAACUCGCUGUGAAGAUGCAGUGUACCCGCGGCAAGACGGAAAGACCCCGUGAACCUUUACUAUAGCUUGACACUGAACACUGGUCCUUGAUGUGCAGGAUAGGUGGGAGGCUUUGAAGUGUGGACGCCAGUCUGCAUGGAGCCGUCCUUGAAAUACCACCCUUUAAUGGCUGGUGUUCUAACGUAGACCCGUGAACCGGGUUGCGGACAGUGUCUGGUGGGUAGUUUGACUGGGGCGGUCUCCUCCUAAAGCGUAACGGAGGAGCACGAAGGUUGGCUAAUCCUGGUCGGACAUCAGGAGGUUAGUGCAAUGGCAUAAGCCAGCUUGACUGCGAGCGUGACGGCGCGAGCAGGUGCGAAAGCAGGUCAUAGUGAUCCGGUGGUUCUGAAUGGAAGGGCCAUCGCUCAACGGAUAAAAGGUACUCCGGGGAUAACAGGCUGAUACCGCCCAAGAGUUCAUAUCGACGGCGGUGUUUGGCACCUCGAUGUCGGCUCAUCACAUCCUGGGGCUGAAGUAGGUCCCAAGGGUAUGGCUGUUCGCCAUUUAAAGUGGUACGCGAGCUGGGUUUAGAACGUCGUGAGACAGUUCGGUCCCUAUCUGCCGUGGGCGCUGGAGAACUGAGGGGGGCUGCUCCUAGUACGAGAGGACCGGAGUGGACGCAUCACUGGUGUUCGGGUUGUCAUGCCAAUGGCACUGCCCGGUAGCUAAAUGCGGAAGAGAUAAGUGCUGAAAGC